CCGGAAUGGCUUAUGGUCUAAACAGUUUACUGCCAUGGGAUGGGACUGCGGCCUAUCAGCUUGUUGGUGAGGUAAUGGCCCACCAAACCUGUAACCGGUACGGGCUCUGAGAGGAGGAGCCCGGAGAUGGGCACUGAGACAAGGGCCCAGGCCCUAUGGGGCGCAGCAGGCGCGAAACCUCUGCAAUAGGCGAAAGCCUGACAGGGUUACUCUGAGUGACUUUCGCUAAGAAAGUCUUUUGGCACCUCUAAAAAGGGUGCAGAAUAAGGGGUGGGCAAGUCUGGUGUCAGCCGCCGCGGUAAUACCAGCACCCCGAGUGGUCGGGACGAUUAUUGGGCCUAAAGCAUCCGUGGCCGGUUCUGCAAGUCCCCCGUUAAAUCCAGCUGCUCAACAGAUGGGCCGCGGAGGAUACUACAGAGCUAGGAGGCAGGAGAGGCAAGCGGUACUCAGUGGGUAGGGGUAAAAUCCGUUGAUCCAUUGAAGACCACCAGUGGCGAAGGCGGCUUGCCAGAAUGCGCUCGACGGCGAGGGAUGAAAGCUGGGGGAGCAAACCGGAUUAGAUACCCGGGUAGUCCCAGCCGUAAACGAUGCAGACCCGGUGAUGGGUUGGCUUCGCGCUAACCCAGUGCCGCAGGGAAGCCGUUAAGUCUGCCGCCUGGGUAGUACGGUCGCAAGACUGAAACUUAAAGGAAUUGGCGGGGGAGCACCACAAGGGGUGAAGCCUGCGGUUCAAUUGGACUCAACGCCGGU
Molecule: ribosomal RNA, 750 nt
Filed under: uncultured archaeon
Lineage: Archaea
Description: bacterial SSU rRNA
Rfam family: Archaeal small subunit ribosomal RNA
Source: RNAcentral